UACGGAGGGUCCAAGCGUUAUCCGGAAUCAUUGGGUUUAAAGGGUGCGUAGGCGGUUUUGUAAGUCAGUGGUGAAAGCCCAUCGCUCAACGGUGGAACGGCCAUUGAUACUGCAAGACUUGAAUUAUUAGGAAGUAACUAGAAUAUGUAGUGUAGCGGUGAAAUGCUUAGAGAUUACAUGGAAUACCAAUUGCGAAGGCAGGUUACUACUAAUGGAUUGACGCUGAUGGACGAAAGCGUGGGUAGCGAACAGG
Molecule: ribosomal RNA, 253 nt
Filed under: uncultured bacterium
Lineage: Bacteria
Description: partial 16S ribosomal RNA
Rfam family: Bacterial small subunit ribosomal RNA
Source: RNAcentral